UAGGGAAUCUUCCGCAAUGGACGCAAGUCUGACGGAGCAACGCCGCGUGAGUGAAGAAGGAUUUCGGUUCGUAAAACUCUGUUGUUAGAGAAGAACAGCGCAUAGAGUAACUGUUAUGCGUGUGACGGUAUCUAACCAGAAAGCCACGGCUAACUACGUGCCAGCAGCCGCGGUAAUACGUAGGUGGCAAGCGUUGUCCGGAUUUAUUGGGCGUAAAGCGAGCGCAGGCGGUCAAUUAAGUCUGAUGUGAAAGCCCCCGGCUCAAACGGGGAGGGUCAUAGGAAUCUGGUUGACUUGAGAGCAGAAGAGGGGAAUGGAAUUCCAUGUGUAGCGAUGAAUUGCAUAGAAAUAUGGAGGAACACCAGUGGAAAAGACGACUAACUGAUAUGUAAAUGACGAUGAGGUACGAAAGCGUGGGUAGCAAACAGG
Molecule: ribosomal RNA, 429 nt
Filed under: Bacteroidota bacterium
Lineage: Bacteria; Pseudomonadati; Bacteroidota
Description: Bacteroidetes bacterium partial 16S ribosomal RNA
Rfam family: Bacterial small subunit ribosomal RNA
Source: RNAcentral